CCCUUAGAUGUCCUGGGCUGCACGCGCGCUACACUGAUGUAUUCAACAAGUGUUGCCUUGACCGAGAGGCCUAGGAAAUCUUUUAAAAGUGCAUCGUGAUAGGAAUAGAUUAUUGCAAUUUUUAAUCUUGAACGAGGAAUUCCUAGUAAACACAGAUCAUCAAUCUGCAUUGAUUACGUCCCUGCCCUUUGUACACACCGCCCGUCGCACCUACCGAUUGAAUGGUCCGGUGAAGCCUCGGGAUUGUAGCAAUCUACCUUUAUUGGUGGUUUGUUGCAAGAACUUGUCUAAACCUUAUCAUUUAGAGGAAGGUGAAGUCGUAACA
This 325-nucleotide ribosomal RNA is filed under the name uncultured eukaryote. RNAcentral describes it as "partial 18S ribosomal RNA". It matches the Rfam family "Eukaryotic small subunit ribosomal RNA", at positions 1470 to 1796 of the family's 1831-position model. The record is from RNAcentral.